This 934-nucleotide ribosomal RNA is filed under the name uncultured Syntrophobacter sp. Its description in RNAcentral is "SSU rRNA". It matches the Rfam family "Bacterial small subunit ribosomal RNA", at positions 8 to 916 of the family's 1533-position model. Lineage: Bacteria; Pseudomonadati; Thermodesulfobacteriota; Syntrophobacteria; Syntrophobacterales; Syntrophobacteraceae. The record is from RNAcentral.
AGAGUUUGAUCCUGGCUCAGAAUAAACGCUGGCGGCGUGCCUAACACAUGCAAGUCGAACGAGAAAGCCUGUUUUCGGACGGGCGAGUAAAGUGGCGCACGGGUGAGUAACGCGUAGGUAACCUGCCCUUGUGUUCGGGAUAACAGUGCGAAAGCGCUGCUAAUACCGGAUGUGGCCAAUUGGCGGUGGCUAGUUGGUCAAAGUCGGCCUCUCAUAGAAGCCGACGCACGGGGAUGGGCCUGCGUCCUAUCAGCUUGUUGGUAGGGUAACGGCCUACCAAGGCUUCGACGGGUAGCUGGUCUGAGAGGAUGAUCAGCCACACUGGCACUGAAACACGGGCCAGACUCCUACGGGAGGCAGCAGUGAGGAAUUUUGCGCAAUGGCCGCAAGGCUGACGCAGCAACGCCGCGUGGGUGAAGAAGGCCUUCGGGUCGUAAAGCCCUGUCAGGUGGGAAGAAUGUUUCGGGGAUGAAAAAGCCUCGGAAGUGACGGUACCACCAGAGGAAGCACCGGCUAACUCCGUGCCAGCAGCCGCGGUAAUACGGAGGGUGCAAGCGUUAUUCGGAAUUACUGGGCGUAAAGCGCGUGCAGGCGGGCGGACAAGUCUGAUGUGAAAGCCCCGGGCUCAACCUGGGAAGUGCAUUGGAUACUGUUCGUCUUGAGUUCUGGAGAGGAAGGGGGAAUUCCCGGUGUAGAGGUGAAAUUCGUAGAGAUCGGGAGGAAUACCAGUGGCGAAGGCGCCCUUCUGGACGGCAACUGACGCUGAGACGCGAAAGCGUGGGGAGCAAACAGGAUUAGAUACCCUGGUAGUCCACGCUGUAAACGAUGAGCACUAGGUGUAGCGGGUACUCAUUCCUGCUGUGCCGCAGCUAACGCGUUAAGUGCUCCGCCUGGGGAUUACGGUCGCAAGACUAAAACUCAAAGGAAUUGACGG